Molecule: transfer RNA, 76 nt
Filed under: Aneurinibacillus thermoaerophilus
Lineage: Bacteria; Bacillati; Bacillota; Bacilli; Caryophanales; Paenibacillaceae
Description: tRNA-Lys
Rfam family: tRNA
About the family: Transfer RNA (tRNA) molecules are approximately 80 nucleotides in length. Their secondary structure includes four short double-helical elements and three loops (D, anti-codon, and T loops). Further hydrogen bonds mediate the characteristic L-shaped molecular structure. tRNAs have two regions of fundamental functional importance: the anti-codon, which is responsible for specific mRNA codon recognition, and the 3' end, to which the tRNAs corresponding amino acid is attached (by aminoacyl-tRNA synthetases). tRNAs cope with the degeneracy of the genetic code in two manners: having more than one tRNA (with a specific anti-codon) for a particular amino acid; and 'wobble' base-pairing, i.e. permitting non-standard base-pairing at the 3rd anti-codon position.
Source: RNAcentral
GGCCUAAUAGCUUAACUGGUAAAGCGCCGGACUUUUAAUCCGGAAGAUGCUGGUUCAAGUCCGGCGAGGGCCACCA